Molecule: long non-coding RNA, 257 nt
Filed under: Pelobates cultripes (western spadefoot toad)
Lineage: Eukaryota; Metazoa; Chordata; Amphibia; Anura; Pelobatidae
Source: RNAcentral
GAUAAAACACGGAGGCUUCCCAAAUUGACUGGAGCUAAUGAGUUGUCUUUGUUACAAAUAGCUCUGGGAAAGUAAGUCAGAAGAAAGAAGGAACAUUUUCUGCAGCCAACAAACAUGGUGUACCCGAGGAUUCUGCAGUUGACUACAUAUGUUGCUUUACUGGUGUUCCUUGGUCACAUCUCCUGUUCUGAGAUUGAGAACCGAUCUGUGUCAGACUCAUGUUCAACACACACAAUUUUACCUGGACCCAAAGGUGA